AAAGAAAAAAAGGAUGAGGUUUGCCUUUCACAAAAUCUAAGGAAGGAGGGGGUGGGGUUGGCGGUUAGGACGCUGCUUGGGAGGCCCGCGCCUCACACCAGGUGCCUGGGCUGGAGUCCUAACUGGGCUUCCAAUUCUGUUAAUUCCUACUGACGCAUGUCCCGGAAGGCAGCAGGUGACGGCUCAAGUGCUCGGGUCCCUGCCACCCACCUGGGAGCCCCGAUGGAGUUCUGGGCUCCUGACUCUGGCCUGACUCAGCCCCGGCUGUUGUAGGCAUUGAGGGAGUGAACCAGAAAUGGAAGCGCACGCGCUUUCUCUCUCUGUCUCUCUGCCUUUAAAGUAAAUUUUAAAAAUAAAUACAUUUUUUAAAGAUGUAUUUACUUAUUUGAAAGGCAGAGUUACAGAGAGGCAGAGAGAGAGAGAGAGAGAGAGAGAGAGAGAGAGGUCUCCCAUCUGCUAGUUCACUCCCCAAAUGGUUGCAAUAGGCAGAGCUAAGCCGAUCCAAAGCCAGGAGCCAGGAGCCUCUUCUGGGUCUCCCACGUGGGUGCAGGGGCCCAAGGACUUGGCCAUCUUCCACUGCUUUCCCAGGCCACAGCAGAGAGCUGGAUCGGAAGUGGAGCAGCCAGGACUCAAACUGGUGCCCAUACGGGAUGCUGGCACUGCAGGCGGCGGCUUUACCCGCUAUGCCACAGCUCCAGCCCAAAAAUAAAUAAAUUUUUAAAAGCACCCUGAGGUUUUCUCCCAGAAAUUUUCUGAUUCAGUGGGCCGGGGGCCAGGCAUUAGCACCCUUAACACUGCUCCCCAGCCCCCUCCCUGGUUCUCACACGUGGCUCGGAACAGAAAUGCCGUUCCUUUCCCAGGCAAAAGAGAGUGAGGGUUGGGGGCCGGGUGGGCUUGUUUAUCGCUGGGGCAAUGGCCUGCAUUUCAUUCAGUUUUCAGAAACAACAACAACAACGCAAGCCCCAUCCUGCCCUGGGCUCCUCUGGCGGAGGCCACGCUGGCCACUGGCAUGACUGGCACUAGAGCCCCUGCCGGACCCUCGCAGCCAGGAGCCUGUGCCAGGGGCUGGGAUGGCCUCAGCACCCCCAGCUCCCCGCUGUGUGGGGCUCCGGCGUGUACGGACAGCUCGCGAGCGUCUUCCCUGAUAAUAAAAAUCGUUUCGACAGAAAGGGUGCCCCGUGGGCCUGGGGGGCGCAGGUCGUGCCAAGCGGGCCGGAAGCGCUCUGUGCGAUAUGGCCUGGCGGCGGGCACGGCUGGCGUGGCUGGGAACCCAGGACCCACCGGCCUCUGCAGGAGCACGGAGCCCUGGCGCUGGUGACAACGCAAGCGCUCUCCAGCCGCGGUUCCCCGGCCCUGCCUCUGCCGCGGCCCCAACAACAGUGUCAUCUCGAGAGACAGCUUGUGUCUGCCGGCGUCACCUCCACACUUCACAGGGCGGCAGAGAAUCCACAGUGAGAGCCGCGAGAGCGCCAGGGGCUGUGACCCGCGUGUCCCCUCCGAGGCGGGACGGCAGAGGGGACUUAGCCGUGCCUCGCUGGCCGACACCCUGGAGGGCCCUGCUCCGCUGCUCUCUGUCAAGACCCCUCCUACUCAGAUCCAGAGUCUCUAAGAAGCCACAGCGGAGGGACGCCUGCCUGCCCACUGCCCAUCCUGCCACGGAAAUGAACAGCGAAGUGAUAAAACCCCGCACCCUGACCUUGACGUUGGCGCCAGGUUGGGCUCAGGGCCCAGCCUCUGUCCUCGCUUUCCGGGCAUCACUGCCCCGGGGGCUCGGCUCCUUCCCGGGGGAGGUAGAGGUUUCGCCAGCAUCAGCUCUGCAGGGUGCCCUGGGCGUGGGGGCGGGGGGAGGUGGUGUGCGCCCGGCUCCCUAAACACCAGCUACUGUGAAGCAGUGGAGACGGAAGCGAGAGUGGAUUUUAAUCCGCCACAGACGAAGCCUGGGGUAGCCUGGCUUUCCAAGUAGUAAAAAUUGGUUCCAAUAUAAUUUAGCCCCUUCAGAAGUCGGAUUUGAAACGAACAUUUGUAGGGAACCUACAAAUUACAUCUGCAAGGAUGGGUCUGUAAUUACAGGCUUCAUUAAUUACACUGGGGAUUUGUUCUUGAAAA
Non-coding RNA from Oryctolagus cuniculus (rabbit), 2106 nucleotides. Lineage: Eukaryota; Metazoa; Chordata; Mammalia; Lagomorpha; Leporidae. The record is from RefSeq and is a predicted model, not a curated record.